GUCCAUGUAGCUUACAGCAAAGCAUGACACUGAAGAUGUCAAGACGGCUGCCACAAACACCCAUGGACA
Molecule: transfer RNA, 69 nt
Filed under: Corvus brachyrhynchos (American crow)
Lineage: Eukaryota; Metazoa; Chordata; Aves; Passeriformes; Corvidae
Also listed under: 2 other names
Description: tRNA-Phe
Rfam family: tRNA
About the family: Transfer RNA (tRNA) molecules are approximately 80 nucleotides in length.
Source: RNAcentral